GAUGAACGCUAGCGGCAGGCUUAACACAUGCAAGUCGAGGGCAGCAUAAUGGAUAGCAAUAUCUAUGGUGGCGACCGGCGCACGGGUGCGUAACGCGUAUGCAACCUACCUUUAACAGGGGGAUAACACUGAGAAAUUGGUACUAAUACCCCAUAAUAUCAUAGAAGGCAUCUUUUAUGGUUGAAAAUUCCGAUGGUUAGAGAUGGGCAUGCGUUGUAUUAGCUAGUUGGUGAGGUAACGGCUCACCAAGGCGACGAUACAUAGGGGGACUGAGAGGUUAACCCCCACACUGGUACUGAGACACGGACCAGACUCCUACGGGAGGCAGCAGUGAGGAAUAUUGGUCAAAUGGACGCAAGUCUGAACCAGCCAUGCCGCGUGCAGGAUGACGGCUCUAUGGGUUGUAAAACUUCUUUUAUACGGGAAUAAAGUGAGGACACGUGUGCCUUUUUGUAUGUACCGUAUGAAUAAGGAUCGGCUAACUCCGUGCCAG
This 493-nucleotide ribosomal RNA is filed under the name uncultured bacterium. RNAcentral describes it as "bacterial SSU rRNA". It matches the Rfam family "Bacterial small subunit ribosomal RNA", at positions 28 to 511 of the family's 1533-position model. The record is from RNAcentral.